Molecule: non-coding RNA, 293 nt
Organism: Cinara cedri
Lineage: Eukaryota; Metazoa; Arthropoda; Insecta; Hemiptera; Aphididae
Source: the annotation of a GenBank genome assembly
GAUUUUACAUAUUCAAUUUUAAAAAUUAAAUUACUCUAAAUUGUUCCAUUAUUGUUUAUGUUUCGGGUGUUGUCAUCCUAAAUAGUAUCUUUCUAUUUGACGACGUUCUUUAUGUGUUCUCCUAAAUAAACUAAGUAUACAAGUGUCUGAAAUCGAAGAAAAUGGUCCGCAAAAAAAAAUUGCUUUCGUAAAUUUUUAAGUUUUUACACGUCACAAUGUUCCGGUUUUUUAAAUAUUUCAAUUCGGUCCCGGUAUGGCCACGGUUCUCGACAUUACACUGGUUUUAAGGGUUU